GUUUCGAGACACAGCACGAUAUCGUCCGUCUCCGGACAAAUAUCAACAGUAGUUGGAAUUGUAGUUACUGUCUUUACUCCAAUCGUUGGUGGUGUUGUUAUUACUGAAACUUUGAUGACGACAAUAUGUAAAGAGAUGGAUCGGACUCCUACUUGUGAUGAAAACCUUAAAAAAUUUGAAAAAUAUAAAAAAGCAGUCAAGAACUAAUUAGUUCAGACGAAAAGAACGAUUUAAACUUUUUAACAAAAUUCUUCACCCAUGAAUAAUUGGGAACCGACCAUCCACCUUUUUAGAUGGUAAAGUAUUUUUCUUGAAUCAAACAAUUGUUGUCCACUUUUCAAUGGCUACUUGUUUUUAAAUAACAUCCAGAAGUAAGAAAUUGCAAUGGAAACAAACUUCCCACCCCUUAACGCCUGUAAUAAUUUAUUCAAUUCAAGUCCCCUUCCAUUAAAAACAAUUUGAAUGGUCAGUGCUUUAUUAUAUUCAAGUCGGUUGUUCACUCUUCUGUGAUAAAAAGGAUUUCCAUUACAAUGCGAGAUCUAUAUAUGUUUACAUGUUUAAUAUGCCAUGGAAGUUACAUAUCAGCAGCGGUUUACAUGUUUAAUAUGCCAUGGAAGUUACAUAUCAGCAGCGGUUUACAUGUUUAAUAUGCCAUGGAAGUUACAUAUCAGCAGCGGUUUACAUGUUUAAUAUGCCAUGGAAGUUACAUAUCAGGAGCAACUUUUACGAUCAUUUAACACAUACUAAUCACGUCUAAUUUAUAAAUUAAAAAAAAAAAUAAAGGCACGCAGUUUAUACCCGUAGCCAUAUAAACAGUUUGGAAUGUUGUUGUCGGUUUUUAAAGUAAUUCAAAGUAAACAGCAAACAAACAUUGUUUUCAAAUAAUUUUCAAGUAGCUUAUGGUGCAUUCUUUAGUCUAGGAUAAAAACACCUUUUGGUGUCCAAAAUAUGUAUAUUAAUAUAAUGUUCAAAAUAUAUAUAUGUAUCUUACCUCGAAUAGAUUUAUGGGGAUAUGAUUGGUUAAUGGACUACACGUGUGGUGACUAUGUAUAUUUGAUAUAUGGUGUCACAUGGUUAGUUACCAUAUAGGGUUAGCAACCAUUUCGGGUUAGUAAGGAGUUACUUUCCUUUCAAAAAAAAAAAAAAGAUGUCACAACCCUCUAUAAAAACAACAUGGUGUUUAGGAACAGACGUCGAAAUUGACGAUGAAAGUUUAAAAUAAGUUCAUAAAACAUAACUACAUUUGUAAUAAUAUAUAACUUUCAUUGUCCUUAAACAAUCAUAUUUUUAUAAUUUUUAAAGGAGACAUCGUUUUGGUUGCAAUUGUGUUGUCUGUCCCUUUGUACAAAUCUACAAAACAUUUACCAUAAGUAUUGAAUCAUUUUGUAAAUAUUUCAUUAAUUGUUUUUUUCAAAUUUGGAUUUCAUGAACUAUUGCACUUUUUACUCUGUAUGUAUAUUAAAUGUUAUUUUUAUUUUUAUAAAUUAGGGAAUGUAUCUCCCUCAUGCUAAGCUCUGAUUCCUUUCACGCAUUUGGCUUUACUUUUUGGACCUUUUUGAUUAUAGUUCUUCAUCUUAUAUAUAAGCUUUGAAGUUUAAAUAUUUUGCCACGAGCACCGCUGAAGAGACAUGUAUUGUCGAAAUGCGCAUCUGGUGCAGAAGAUUGGUACCGUUAAUGUUAUUCAUAUUUUUGUAUUUCCCUUCAGAUUGCAAAACAAAAAUAAGGACCAAGUGCCCCUUAAUAUAAUAUUUCACACAAGGUCCAUUUUUACAUUUGUAAAAACUCUUUCAACCAUAUAUAAAAUAUGGACAAUAUACAGACUCAAAUAUUUAAUGUGUGGUUCAUUUCUCAACAAAUAUUGAUUGUCCAGAGAUCUAUAAUAUGUAUAUUGAUAUAAUCUUAAAGAUAUAAAUUUAUAUAAAACUUUCAUUGUCAUAAUACAGUCAUAUUUUUUAUAUGCUUUUAAAGGAGACACUGUUUUGUUUGCAAUUGUGUUUUGUGUCCCUUUGUGCAAAUCUACAAAACAUUUACAAUAAGUAUUGAAUCAAUUUGUAAAUAUUCCAUUCAUUUUUUUUUAUCAGAUUUUGAUUUCAUGAAUUAUUGUGUUUUUG
RNAcentral lists this long non-coding RNA (2111 nucleotides) under Mytilus galloprovincialis (Mediterranean mussel). The record is from RNAcentral. Lineage: Eukaryota; Metazoa; Mollusca; Bivalvia; Mytilida; Mytilidae.